Molecule: ribosomal RNA, 505 nt
Filed under: uncultured bacterium
Lineage: Bacteria
Description: bacterial SSU rRNA
Rfam family: Bacterial small subunit ribosomal RNA
Source: RNAcentral
AGAGUUUGAUCCUGGCUCAGAUUGAACGCUGGCGGCAUGCUUUACACAUGCAAGUCGAACGGCAGCGCGGGGGCAACCCUGGCGGCGAGUGGCGAACGGGUGAGUAAUGCAUCGGAACGUAUCCUGUAAUGGGGGAUAACGUAGCGAAAGUUACGCUAAUACCGCAUACGCUCGAGAGAGGAAAGUGGGGGAUCGCAAGACCUCACGUUAUAGGAGCGGCCGAUGUCCGAUUGGCUAGUUGGUGGGGUAAAGGCCUACCAAGGCGACGAUCGGUAGCUGGUCUGAGAGGAUGAUCAGCCACACUGGGACUGAGACACGGCCCAGACUCCUACGGGAGGCAGCAGUGGGGAAUUUUGGACAAUGGGCGAAAGCCUGAUCCAGCCACGCCGCGUGCGGGAAGAAGGCCUUCGGGUUGUAAACCGCUUUAGUCCGGGAAAAAGGGGUGCGAGGAUAAUACCCUCGUGCUUUGAUGGUACUGGAAGAAUAAGCACCGGCUAACUACGUG